CGGGACGGGGUGGGAGGUAAUGUCUGGGAAACGUGCCCGAUGGAGGGGGAUAAUAACUGGAACGGGUAGCUAAUACCGCAUAACGUCGCAAGACCAAAGAGGGGGACCUUCGGGCCUCUUGCCAUCGGAUGUGCCCAGAUGGGAUUAGCUAGUAGGUGGGGUAACGGCUCACCUAGGCGACGAUCCCUAGCUGGUCUGAGAGGAUGACCAGCCACACUGGAACUGAGACACGGUCCAG
RNAcentral lists this ribosomal RNA (238 nucleotides) under uncultured bacterium. Its description in RNAcentral is "partial 16S ribosomal RNA". It matches the Rfam family "Bacterial small subunit ribosomal RNA", at positions 104 to 334 of the family's 1533-position model. The record is from RNAcentral.